GCCAGCAGCCGCGGUAAUACGGAGGGUGCGAGCGUUAAUCGGAAUUACUGGGCGUAAAGCGCAUGCAGGUGGUUGUUAAGUCAGAUGUGAAAGCCCGGGGCUCAACCUCGGAAUUGCAUUUGAAACUGGCAAACUAGAGUACUGUAGAGGGGGUAGAAUUUCAGGUGUAGCGGUGAAAUGCGUAGAGAUCUGAAGGAAUACCGGUGGCGAAGGCGGCCCCCUGGACAGAUACUGACACUCAGAUGCGAAAGCGUGGGGAGCAAACAGGAUUAGAUACCCUGGUAG
Molecule: ribosomal RNA, 285 nt
Filed under: uncultured bacterium
Lineage: Bacteria
Description: partial 16S ribosomal RNA
Rfam family: Bacterial small subunit ribosomal RNA
Source: RNAcentral